CCUACGGGAGGCAGCAGUGAGGAAUAUUGGUCAAUGGACGGUAGUCUGAACCAGCCAUGCCGCGUGCAGGAAGACGGCUCUAUGGGUUGUAAACUGCUUUUGUACAAGGGUAAACCUGAAUACGUGUAUUCAGCUGAAAGUACUGUACGAAUAAGGAUCGGCUAACUCCGUGCCAGCAGCCGCGGUAAUAUGGAGGAUCCAAGCGUUAUCCGGAUUUAUUGGGUUUAAAGGGUGCGUAGGUGGACUGAUAAGUUAGUGGUGAAAGUUUCGGGCUUAACUCGGGAAUUGCCUUUAAUACUGUUGAUCUAGAGAGUAGAUGCGGUAGGCGGAAUGUAUGGUGUAGCGGUGAAAUGCUUAGAGAUCAUACAGAACACCGAUUGCGAAGGCAGCUUACCAAUCUAUAUCUGACGCUGAGGCACGAAAGCGUGGGGAGCAAACAGGAUUAGAUACCCCUGUAGUC
RNAcentral lists this ribosomal RNA (460 nucleotides) under uncultured bacterium. Its description in RNAcentral is "partial 16S ribosomal RNA". It matches the Rfam family "Bacterial small subunit ribosomal RNA", at positions 338 to 795 of the family's 1533-position model. The record is from RNAcentral.